CACAGUCUGAAGUCUGUUCACAUUCUUUACAGAGCUAGGGUGGAUGAGUCUUGGAAAUACAGAAAGCAGGUAACCCAUUCUGAUUUUUUUAUGAACAUACUAGUAACUUUAACUAAACAUGUGUUGUUAGCAGCACUCUUAACUAUGGAAUGCCUAUAGCAGAAUAUUCCUAGUUGUCUAGGAUUCCUUAUGACAAACAAACCAGGAACCCAUGGGUUUAUGGGACAGAGCUAUCUAGAAAUAUGGCACAUUAACUGUAUGCAUUGAGUAUAAAGUGGAAAUGUUGCACGAACCACCUAUUUUUUUAUGUUAAACAGAGUGACCAUAAACCUUACCGAUAAACCUCAUACGUUAAUCUGUGCCAGAGAAUGCCAGAUCCAGAAGUCUAGGAAAUUGCUCCAGGGGUUCAGGACCUCCUCUGCUUUGUGUAUGGGAUCUGUUCUUGAAAUUAGGGGGAAGACUUGAUAUUGAAUAAGACCUGUGAUUCGGGUAACUCUAAUUUGACAAUCCAGUUGUUUAUAUUUAUCUGACUUUUCAUUCUUUGUUUAGCAAUAUUAAGAAAAGGCUUAAUCAAUUUAUUAGCUGAUCGAUCAUUAAAAGCAUUUUUUUUUCAUGAAAAAUACCUAAUUUUUGGCAGGCAACUAAGAAGUCAUAGACAGCAACUGAAUGACAAUACUAUAACACUGUCUUCUGUUUUCAACUGCUUAUUUUUUGCAAGGUGUGUUAUUCAGCAUGCGCAUGUGCACAAGCAAUAGCAGCAUAUCAGCUUUAGACGUGGACAUGUCACAGGGAUCUGAGAAGCUGUGGAUAAAUAGAGGACCUCCUCAGUAAUAAAAUGGUCUGGACAUGAAGAACUCUUACCCUACAUUAGACUCCAUGCUUUUUUAUGAAACCCUCUUCUCCGGGAAGUACAGAGAUUGAUCAUGGGAGUAUGUUGUCCUCUCAGGCAUACUAUCCUGAAGAUGUUUCUCAGCCUGUUGAUAGCUACUUUCAAAAGCCUCUACCUUCAGACACCUCACACAAAAUGUAGUCUUCAGUCUCAAAAUCUAUACUUAAUCCCAAACUCCAGAAACAGAGGUCCAGUUUUUGUAAAAACUUCAUCACUGCAUUUUACUGUUUUUGCCACCACAGGGAGGCCUGUUUCAGCAGCUGAGCAAGCAUGUGGUGGGAAGGAAGAGGAGUCCUUUGUAUAUAUGGUAUGCAAAAAAAUCACCACCACCCCACCACUGCGAAAGAUGUCUGCAUCCUAAGCCUCAGAAUCUGUAAAUGUGUUACCUCACAUGGCAAAAGAGACUUUGCAGGUGCGAUUAAAUUAAAGAUCAUGGAAAAAUUCUAUUGGAUUAUCUAGAUGGGCCCAUUAUUAUCACCAAAGUCAUGGAAAGGAAGGCAAGAGUCAGAGAAGAAAAUAGGAUGACAGAAGCAGAGGUCUGAGUGAAACAGAGCUAUAAACCAAGGAAUGUGGGCAGCUUCUAGAAGCUCAAAAAGACAAUGAAUAAAUUCUCCCCUAGAACUUCCA
Molecule: long non-coding RNA, 1516 nt
Filed under: Vulpes vulpes (red fox)
Lineage: Eukaryota; Metazoa; Chordata; Mammalia; Carnivora; Canidae
Description: lncRNA (ENSVVUG00000008150.1)
Source: RNAcentral